GAAAGAACGUAGUGAAAUGCGAUAAGUAAUGUGAAUUGCAGAAUUCAGUGAAUCAUCGAAUCUUUGAACGCACAUUGCGCCCAUUAGUAUUCUAGUGGGCAUGCCUGUUCGAGCGUCAUUAAUUCCACUUAAGCCCUGCUUAGUGUUGGGAAUCUACUCUAGUGGUGCUACCCUGGAGCUACCCCUGAAAGGGGGCUGGCCCGGUAGCUACCCUGUAGUUCCUCAAAGAUAGUGCGCGGAGUUGCGUGGUCCUCUGAGCUUAGUAACUAUACACCUAGCUUUUGAGUGUCCCGCGGCGCCUGCCGUUUAAACCCCAUCUUUUAAUGGUUGACCUCGGAUCAGGUAGGAAUACCCGCUGAACUUAAGCAUAUCAAUAAGCGGAGGA
Molecule: unclassified non-coding RNA, 385 nt
Filed under: soil metagenome
Description: partial contains 5.8S ribosomal RNA, internal transcribed spacer 2, and large subunit ribosomal RNA
Rfam family: 5.8S ribosomal RNA (bases 3-118)
Source: RNAcentral